RNAcentral lists this small RNA (135 nucleotides) under Arabidopsis thaliana (thale cress). RNAcentral's name for it is "ATSL206000". The record is from RNAcentral. Lineage: Eukaryota; Viridiplantae; Streptophyta; Magnoliopsida; Brassicales; Brassicaceae.
GAUUAUAUUCAAUGCACAUUUAGGAGUGAUUUUAACGAGACAAGUGUCCCUUAAUGAUUUUGCUUCAGCUUCUUCGACAGAAAAUACAGGAACAAACGCACACACCAAAGCUACAACCAUAAAUAGCACAGUAAC